Molecule: ribosomal RNA, 506 nt
Filed under: uncultured bacterium
Lineage: Bacteria
Description: partial 16S ribosomal RNA
Rfam family: Bacterial small subunit ribosomal RNA
Source: RNAcentral
GAUGAACGCUAGCUACAGGCUUAACACAUGCAAGUCGAGGGGUAACGAGAGGAAAGCUUGCUUUCCUUGUCGACGACCGGCGCACGGGUGAGUAACGCGUAUCCAACCUGCCCCCAACUAAGGAAUAACCUUGCGAAAGUAAGACUAAUACCUUAUAAUUUCCUCAGAUGUCAUCUGACGAGGAAUAAAGAUUUAUCGGUUGUGGAUGGGGAUGCGUCUGAUUAGCUUGUUGGCGGGGUAACGGCCCACCAAGGCAACGAUCAGUAGGGGUUCUGGGAGGAAGGUCCGCCACAUUGGAACUAAGACACGGUCCAAACUCCUACGGGAGGCAGCAGUGAGGAAUAUUGGUCAAUGGGCGAAAGCCUGAACCAGCCAAGUAGCGUGCAGGAUGACGGCCCUAUGGGUUGUAAACUGCUUUUAUACAGGAAUAAAGUUAGCCACGUGUGGUUAUUUGUAGGUACUGUAUGAAUAAGGACCGGCUAAUUCCGUGCCAGCAGCCGCCGUAA